AGAGUUUGAUCAUGGCUCAGGAUGAACGCUAGCGGCAGGCUUAAUACAUGCAAGUCGUGGGGCAGCAGGUCCCGCAGCAAUGCGGGAUGCUGGCGACCGGCAAACGGGUGCGGAACACGUACACAACCUUCCUUUAAGUGGGGAAUAGCCCGGGGAAACCCGGAUUAAUACCCCGUAAUAUAAUAGAGUGGCAUCGCUUUAUUAUUAUAGCUCCGGCGCUUGAAGAUGGGUGUGCGACUGAUUAGGCAGUUGGCGGGGUAACGGCCCACCAAACCUACGAUCAGUAACUGGUGUGAGAGCACGACCAGUCACACGGGCACUGAGACACGGGCCCGACUCCUACGGGAGGCAGCAGUAAGGAAUAUUGGUCAAUGGACGCAAGUCUGAACCAGCCAUGCCGCGUGGAGGAUGAAGGUCCUCUGGAUUGUAAACUUCUUUUAUCUGGGAAGAAACCCACAAAUUCUUUUGUGGUUGACGGUACCAGAUGAAUAAGCACCGGCUAACUCCGUGCCAGCAGCCGCGGUAAUACGGAGGGUGCAAGCGUUAUCCGGAUUCACUGGGUUUAAAGGGUGCGUAGGUGGGUUGGUAAGUCAGUGGUGAAAUCUCCAGGCUUAACUUGGAAACUGCCAUUGAUACUAUCAAUCUUGAAUGCCGUGGAGGUCAGCGGAAUAUGUCAUGUAGCGGUGAAAUGCUUAGAUAUGACAUAGAACACCAAUUGCGAAGGCAGCUGGCUACACGAAUAUUGACACUGAUGCACGAAAGCGUGGGGAUCAAACAGGAUUAGAUACCCNNGUAGUCC
Molecule: ribosomal RNA, 799 nt
Filed under: uncultured bacterium
Lineage: Bacteria
Description: bacterial SSU rRNA
Rfam family: Bacterial small subunit ribosomal RNA
Source: RNAcentral